RNAcentral lists this ribosomal RNA (492 nucleotides) under uncultured bacterium. RNAcentral's name for it is "partial 16S ribosomal RNA". It matches the Rfam family "Bacterial small subunit ribosomal RNA", at positions 29 to 507 of the family's 1533-position model. The record is from RNAcentral.
AGUGAACGCUGGCGGCAGGCCUAACACAUGCAAGUCGAACGGCCGCACAGUAAGCGCUUGCUCUUACGGGUGGCGAGUGGCGGACGGGUGAGGCAUACAUCGGCUUCUUCUUCUUCGUGGGGGAUAUCGUAGGGCAACUUACGCUACUACCUCAUAUGACCUACGGGUGAAAGCAGGGGAUCUUCGGACCUUUCGCGAUAGUAUUAGCCGAAGCCGGAUUACCUAGUUGGCGAGGUAAAGGCCCACCAAGGCAACGCUCCGUAGCUGGUCCGAGAGGGUGAUCAGCCACACUGGAACUGAGACACGGUCCAGACUCCUACGGGAGGCAGCAGUGGGGAAUAUUGGGCAAUGGGCGAAAGCCUGAUCCAGCCAUACCGCGUGGGUGAAGAAGGCCUUCGGGUUGUAAAGCCCUUUUGUUGGGAAAGAAAAGCAGCAGGUUAAUACCCCGCUGUUCUGACGGUACCCAAAGAAUAAGCACCGGCUAACUUCGUG